RNAcentral lists this ribosomal RNA (755 nucleotides) under Weissella hellenica. RNAcentral's name for it is "bacterial SSU rRNA". It matches the Rfam family "Bacterial small subunit ribosomal RNA", at positions 48 to 759 of the family's 1533-position model. The record is from RNAcentral. Lineage: Bacteria; Bacillati; Bacillota; Bacilli; Lactobacillales; Lactobacillaceae.
CUAAUACAUGCAAGUCGAACGCUUUGUGCUUAAUUGAUAUGACGAGCUUGCUCUGAUUUGAUUUUUUGAUUUCAAAGAGUGGCGAACGGGUGAGUAACACGUGGGUAACCUACCUCUUAGCAGGGGAUAACAUUUGGAAACAAGUGCUAAUACCGUAUAAUACCAACAACCGCAUGGUUGUUGGUUGAAAGAUGGUUCUGCUAUCACUAAGAGAUGGACCCGCGGUGCAUUAGCUAGUUGGUAAGGUAAUGGCUUACCAAGGCAAUGAUGCAUAGCCGAGUUGAGAGACUGAUCGGCCACAAUGGGACUGAGACACGGCCCAUACUCCUACGGGAGGCAGCAGUAGGGAAUCUUCCACAAUGGGCGCAAGCCUGAUGGAGCAACGCCGCGUGUGUGAUGAAGGGUUUCGGCUCGUAAAACACUGUUAUAAGAGAAGAACGGCACUGAGAGUAACUGUUCAGUGUGUGACGGUAUCUUACCAGAAAGGAACGGCUAAAUACGUGCCAGCAGCCGCGGUAAUACGUAUGUUCCAAGCGUUAUCCGGAUUUAUUGGGCGUAAAGCGAGCGCAGACGGUUAUUUAAGUCUGAAGUGAAAGCCCUCAGCUCAACUGAGGAAUUGCUUUGGAAACUGGAUGACUUGAGUGCAGUAGAGGAAAGUGGAACUCCAUGUGUAGCGGUGAAAUGCGUAGAUAUAUGGAAGAACACCAGUGGCGAAGGCGGCUUUCUGGACUGUAACUGACGUUGAGGCUCGAAAG